RNAcentral lists this ribosomal RNA (274 nucleotides) under uncultured prokaryote. Its description in RNAcentral is "partial 16S ribosomal RNA". It matches the Rfam family "Archaeal small subunit ribosomal RNA", at positions 474 to 747 of the family's 1478-position model. The record is from RNAcentral.
UACCAGCACCCCGAGUGGUCGGGACGUUUAUUGGGCCUAAAGCAUCCGUAGCCGGUUCUACAAGUCUUCCGUUAAAUCCACCUGCUUAACAGAUGGGCUGCGGAAGAUACUAUAGAGCUAGGAGGCGGGAGAGGCAAGCGGUACUCGAUGGGUAGGGGUAAAAUCCGUUGAUCCAUUGAAGACCACCAGUGGCGAAGGCGGCUUGCCAGAACGCGCUCGACGGUGAGGGAUGAAAGCUGGGGGAGCAAACCGGAUUAGAUACCCCUAGUAGUCC